GUAUGGAUCAAGAACAAACAUAUCAAGUUCGUUCUUCUAGUGAAGCUCCUAGUGAGAUAUGUGAAGGAAAUUGAAGCCAUUCAGUUGCAGUAAUAAUUUUAUUUUUAUCCAUUUAGUCAGUAAUUUAUAAUAAAGAAAACCAUCAAAGAAAAACACAUUUACAAUAGAAAAUGAUGUUGGUCUGAAUGGCACAAGUGAAGCCUUACCGAGUGGAAAUAAGUGCAACAUGGUCUUGAGUCCCAUAAGAUUUUGCUGGUACAAACCUUCUCUAAAGCUACCUCCUUUAAACCUUAUGACCUAGGAUUAAGACUAUAGAAAAUAUUAACAUCGAACAUCUAGAUUUUGUAUUUAUACGUGAAGAUUAAGAAGAAUGGAAAGAAACUUGUUUGUUUUUUCUUUCUUCGAAUGAAUGGAGGUUAAGUGCAUACCAUUGAGUUUAAUUUGUAUUAAAUUACUUGAAAGGUUAUGUAUGAUUUAGAAAACUAACUUUUCACUAUAUUUCUUUGUUGCAUUAAUUAAGAAGAUUGAGUUUAAUUAAAUAAUAAAUGAAUUGUGAUGCAGGAUAAAUGACAUAUGGUUGAAUUUUUUACAUAGGCCAUGAAAAAUGUAAAUUUUAUUAUAUUAUAACUUAUAAAAUCUUUGAACUUAAAUGAAAAAUCUAUGGUUAUUUUAGGUGGUUUUAUUUUUUGAAAUCUUGAACUUUAAUGAAGAAUCCA
Molecule: long non-coding RNA, 716 nt
Filed under: Carica papaya (papaya)
Lineage: Eukaryota; Viridiplantae; Streptophyta; Magnoliopsida; Brassicales; Caricaceae
Description: long non-coding RNA (CPAP_LNC006621)
Source: RNAcentral